Molecule: non-coding RNA, 2252 nt
Organism: Paramisgurnus dabryanus
Lineage: Eukaryota; Metazoa; Chordata; Actinopteri; Cypriniformes; Cobitidae
Source: RefSeq, a predicted model, not a curated record
AUUAAGUGUACUAGAAGUACAUUGGUAAUAAAUAUAUGCUUUAUUACAUUUUUAAGAAAUAUGCUAAACUUAAGAAUAUUUUUAAUGUAUUUAUAUUAAGUGUACUAAAAGUAUGCUGGUAAUAAAUAUAUGCAUAAUUACACUUUUAAGAAAUAUGCUAAACACAAAUGUACUUCUAGUGAAGUUUUAGUAUAUUUGGAUAAAACAUACUUUUUUCAAAACAUGAUUCAUUAAUUGUAAUAAGCUAACAUUGAACUUUCCUCAAGCCUUUCAACAUUAUAUCAUUCCGAUUGCACAAUAAGCUAUUUUUUCAAAGAUUUGCUUAAAAUCUUACUUGUUUAAUUUCAAAAUCUUACUUGUUUAAUUUCAAACAACACAUGUGACACACGUGACUAAACCUGAUUGGUUGUUGUCAUAGUAACACGUCACGGUGCUAUUUGAAACUUGUUCAGUUUAGUUCAGUUGUUCACGGUGCAUGCGGUUGCUUGCAUUAAACGUAAACUGUUAAAUUAGAUGGCGACUCUGCAUUAAACGUAUUUAUUUAAUUAAUCGGCGAUCAUAUUUCACCAGAGGACUAAGAUAAAACAACUCGAUUUAAAAUAUGAGCAGUUUUAGUGGAUCUGACGUUGAGGGAAAAAGUAUUUCGCUUUUUGUUUGGAGAUGAACGAGACAACACAAGGGUAAGUGAUGACAGAUUUUCACAUUUCUUUAUUUAGUUAACUAUUAAAUAAGUAAAACAUUACAUUACAUUUAACCCAGCUUCUUUAUGUAACGUUAUGUCUGUGUUGCGUGUGGUAAUUGGAACAUCUUUAUUUUCUGACUAACGUUAGGCAUUUCUCUUAAGCAUUUCAGAAAUCAUUAAAACCUUUCAUUUUUUUUAGCACAGCGACAUAAAUAUGACCAACCAGAUCCCAAGUAGACAGGAACAAAUGAAGAUAUAGCGCAUAGAAAGACUUAUUCUUGGUGAUCAACUGCUAUUGACAUUUUUGAAUCGGGGCAAAUGUGGAGUGAAGAAAAACGUUUGCAACACAUCCAUUCCAGAGUGCUGUGACAGAUAAAACUGACACGCUUGAUGAGGACACAGUCAAAGCUUUAAAAGCCCGUGUGAUAAAGCAGUCUUCAAUUACUACGGUGUCUGAAUUGCAAGAAGAAGUCACCCUCCACUUAAACAUGUGACAUCUAAACUGUUUUGUGUUUUAGUUCAGCUUUUUAUAGGUUUAUCUUAAGUUGGUUAAAGGCAGAGUGCACUAUUUUUGAAAGCCAAUGUUAACAUUUGAAAUUACCUAAACAAACAUGCCUCUACCCCAAUAGAAUCUGGACCUUCUUUUGAUAGAGCCACCACACACAUACGCAACCCCGGCAAGGAUGUCAGUUAGUAGACACGCCCCUUACUGCUGGUUGGCUACAAGUGUGUUUUGGUAGUCGGCCCAAUUUCCUUUUCCAAAGCGUUUUUCAAACAUUGUGCACUCCGUCUUUAAAUUGCACUUAAAACAUUUAUUUUUCAGUAACUUUUUAUGCAGAGAAUUACAUUAUGAUUAUUAUAUAAUCAUUGCUUAUGAAUAUUUAGUGAUUGCAUAUUCAUAGUGUACUUUUCAUUAAUACAUUUAAUGUUAAUGUUGUACAAUUUAAAAAAUAGAAGUAGCUCUGUAAUUGCAUUUCUCUGAUAUUUGUUUUAUAUGUUUCUCUUUGGUCAAGAGAUUAUGUAUGUCUCUGUGCUUGAUUAAUUUACUUUAGGUAUUUUUGUAAUGUACACAACACAAUAUGAAGUAUAUUAAAUUGUUCUGUAUUCAAAAUCUGUGUAUGUGUCUUAAAAUUUAAUGAUUUUAAUAUAACAUUUUAAAUAUUAAAAACAGCUUUAUAAUAAAAUAGAAGUGUAAUGCUAAUACAUUUCUAUUAAUGUAAUGCUAGUAUAUUUCUAAUAUGCUGAAGUACUAUUAAAGUGUUCUUAAAGCACAGUUAAAUUAAGCUUUAAAUGUAUUCUAACUGUAUUUUUAAGUGUAUGAGAAGUGCAUUUCAAAUGAAUUUUAAAGAAGUACACUUAAAUUGCACUAAAUAUAUUUGAAGUUGUUCCAAUUUAACACAAUUUCAAUAUAUUAAAUAUAAUGCAAAUAGAUUAAAAUUGACUUUAAAUAUAUCUUGAAAUGCAUUUAAUAUAUUUGAAGUGGGUUCAAUAUAAUACAUUUAAUAUGCAUUUAGUAUAGUAGCUUUUAAAUAUAUUAAGUAUGUCCCAAAAAAUACUAUUUAAAUAUAUU